This 1250-nucleotide long non-coding RNA is filed under the name Chrysemys picta bellii (western painted turtle). Its description in RNAcentral is "lncRNA (ENSCPBG00000020334.1)". The record is from RNAcentral. Lineage: Eukaryota; Metazoa; Chordata; Testudines; Emydidae.
CCCGUUUCCAAGCCAUGUCAGACUUGAUCUCUCAUGUGAGGGCCCACCUGCUCACCAUUGCUUGCACCUGCCUGAGGUUGUUAGGCCACAUGGCAGCAUGUACUUACGUGGUCUGUCAUGGCUGGCUCCAUCUCCGACCACUGCAAGCAUGGUUGGUGUCAGUCUACAUCCCCAACAGGCACAGUCGAGACCUGGUAGUCAGGUGCUGGAUCACAUAUGGUCAUCCCGGGAAUGGUGGCUGGACCCUGACUCGGUGUUGGAGGGAGAUCCAUUUGUGGCCCCGUCCCUGUCGCUGACUGUGCUCUCCGAUGCCUUGGACCUGGGCUGGGGAUCCCACCUGGGUAAUCUCAGCACACAAGGCCGCUGGUCGCAGGACGAUAGCUCCCUCCACGUAAACGUCAGAGAGCUCAAAACGGUUCGCUUGACCUGCCAGGCUUUCCUAACCCACGCGAAAGGCAAGGUGGUACAGAUCCUGACAGACAACAUCGUCGCAACGUUUUGUAUCAACAAGCUGGGCAGAGCCAGGUCAUCAGCCCUUUGCCGAGAAGCUGUCCGUCUCUGGGACUUCUGUGUGCAGCAUGCCAUUCAUCUCGUGGCCGGGCACCUCCCUGGGGCCAGGAAUGUGUUAGCGGAUCACCUCAGCAGGUCCUUCUCUUCUCGCCAUGAAUGGCCACUCCAUCCGGAGGUGGUCAGUGUGAUCUUCCAACGGUGCGGUGGAGGACUCCCUGGGUGGACUUGUUCGUGUCCCAAGAGAACAGGAAGUGCUGUGCGUUCUGCUCAAUUCAGGGGAUUGACAGAGGCUCCCUGUCAGACACCUUUUUGCUCCUGUGGUCGGGGCUCUAGUGUACGCCUUCCUGCCAGUGCAACUAAUCCACAGAGUCCCCAUGAAGAUCAAACAGGACAAGGCCAAUGUAAUCCUGAUGGCCUCGUCAGCACUGGUUCGGCACACUGCCAGACCUUUUGGUGGCUGCCCUGCUGCAGCUGCCUCUCUGGCCGGACUUGCUGUCCCAUAACCACGGUGGUCUGCUACACCCAAACUUGGCAACACUGCACCUGAUGGCUUCACUGCUGUGUGGUUGAAUGCGGAAGAGCAGGAAGUGCUUGGCCCUUGUUCAGCAGGUCCUUUUGGCUAACAGAAAGUCCUCCACCGGGGCAACCUACCUGGUCAAAUGGAAAAGGUUCAUGUGCUGGGCCUCGGAUCAGGGUAUCCGGUUUCAGCAGGCCUUGCUGCAGUCGAUCUUGGACUAUCU